Long non-coding RNA from Rhea pennata, 342 nucleotides. RefSeq lists it as uncharacterized. NCBI's taxonomy places the organism in Eukaryota, Metazoa, Chordata, Aves, Rheiformes, Rheidae. The record is from RefSeq and is a predicted model, not a curated record. The transcript has 3 exons.
AGAGAUGCAGAAUUACUAACAUACAGCCUACUGAAAAUAAGAGAAACAAAGCUGUGGGUGUUAACCUUAUGUCAGUCUCUUGGCUGCUGCGUACUCUCUACUUGCAGAAGAAGUUUCAGGCAUGAAUUACCCUCUCAUGGAAAAGAUGCCGUCACCAGCUCUGAUUUGGCAGAUAGACUCUAAGAAUGCUCAAGUGCCUCAUGACAGACCUUUAGCAGCAUAUGUAACGUCUAUUGGGAGCAGUGUUCAAAGAUAUUUGACGUUUACUCUGUGUAAGGGUUGUUGUAUGGUCUGAACUGGGUUUUCAUCAGUCUAAUAAAGCUUUCAGUGGUCUUUUAUUAU